GAUGAACGCUAGCUACAGGCUUAACACAUGCAAGUCGAGGGGAAACGACAUCGAAAUCUUGCUUUUUAUGGUCGUCGACCGGCGCACGGGUGAGUAACGCGUAUCCAACCUGCUCAUCACUUGUGAAUAACCUUGCGAAAGUAAGACUAAUACCCAAUGAUAUCCCACGAAGGCAUCGGAAUGGGAUUAAAGAUUUAUCGGGGAUGGAUGGGGAUGCGUCUGAUUAGCUUGUUGGCGGGGUACCGGCCCACCAAGGCAACGAUCAGUAGGGGUUCUGAGAGGAAGGUCCCUGACAUGGGAACCGGGACCAGGGCGAAACUCAUACGGGCGGCAGUAGUGAGGAAUACUGCACAAUGGGAGAGAGCAUGAACCAGGGAAGUAGCGUGCAGCAAGACGGCCCUAUGGGUUGUAAACUGCUUUUAUAAGGGAAUAAAGUGCGUUACGUGUGACUUUUUGAAUGUAACUUAUGAAUAAGGACCGGCUAAUUACGUG
This 492-nucleotide ribosomal RNA is filed under the name uncultured bacterium. RNAcentral describes it as "partial 16S ribosomal RNA". It matches the Rfam family "Bacterial small subunit ribosomal RNA", at positions 28 to 507 of the family's 1533-position model. The record is from RNAcentral.